AGAGUUUGAUCAUGGCUCAGGAUGAACGCUGGCGGCGUGCUUAACACAUGCAAGUCGAACGAACCUUCGGGUUAGUGGCGGACGGGUGAGUAACGCGUGAGAAUCUGCCCUCAGGAGGGGGAUAACGGUUGGAAACGACCGCUAAUACCCCAUAUGCCUACUGGUGAAAUGAAUUUCGCCUGAGGAUGAGCUCGCGUCUGAUUAGCUAGUUGGUGAGGUAAUGGCUCACCAAGGCUUCGAUCAGUAGCUGGUCUGAGAGGAUGAUCAGCCACACUGGGACUGAGACACGGCCCAGACUCCUACGGGAGGCAGCAGUGGGGAAUUUUCCGCAAUGGGCGAAAGCCUGACGGAGCAACGCCGCGUGAGGGACGAAGGCCUCUGGGCUGUAAACCUCUUUUCUCAAGGAAGAAGAUAUGACGGUACUUGAGGAAUAAGCCACGGCUAAUUCCGUGCCAGCAGCCGCGGUAAUACGGGAGUGGCAAGCGUUAUCCGGAAUUAUUGGGCGUAAAGCGUCCGCAGGCGGCUUUUCAAGUCUGCUGUUAAAGCGUGGAGCUUAACUCCAUCAUGGCAGUGGAAACUGAAAGGCUUGAGUAUGGUAGGGGCAGAGGGAAUUCCCGGUGUAGCGGUGAAAUGCGUAGAUAUCGGGAAGAACACCAGUGGCGAAGGCGCUCUGCUGGGCCAUUACUGACGCUCAUGGACGAAAGCCAGGGGAGCGAAAGGGAUUAGAUACCCCUGUAGUCCUGGCCGUAAACGAUGAACACUAGGUGUCGGGGGAAUCGACCCCUUCGGUGUCGUAGCUAACGCGUUAAGUGUUCCGCCUGGGGAGUACGCACGCAAGUGUGAAACUCAAAGGAAUUGACAGGGGCCCGCACAAGCGGUGGAGUAUGUGGUUUAAUUCGAUGCAACGCGAAGAACCUUACCAGGGUUUGACAUCCUGCGAACCUCUUAGAAAUUUGAGGGUGCCUUCGGGAAUGCAGUGACAGGUGGUGCAUGGCUGUCGUCAGCUCGUGUCGUGAGAUGUUGGGUUAAGUCCCGCAACGAGCGCAACCCACGUUUUUAGUUGCCAGCAUUUAGUUGGGCACUCUAGAAAGACCGCCGGUGAUAAACCGGAGGAAGGUGUGGAUGACGUCAAGUCAUCAUGCCCCUUACACCCUGGGCUACACACGUACUACAAUGCUACGGACAAAGGGCAGCAAACUCGCGAGAGCUAGCAAAUCCCAUAAACCGUGGCUCAGUUCAGAUCGUAGGCUGCAACUCGCCUACGUGAAGUAGGAAUCGCUAGUAAUCGCAGGUCAGCAUACUGCGGUGAAUACGUUCCCGGGCCUUGUACACACCGCCCGUCACACCAUGGAAGUUGGCCAUGCCCGAAGUCGUUACUCCAACCCUUGUGGAGGAGGACGCCGAAGGUGGGGCUAAUGACUGGGGUGAAGUCAUAACAAGGUAACCGUA
RNAcentral lists this ribosomal RNA (1449 nucleotides) under uncultured bacterium. RNAcentral describes it as "bacterial SSU rRNA". It matches the Rfam family "Bacterial small subunit ribosomal RNA". The record is from RNAcentral.